RNAcentral lists this long non-coding RNA (270 nucleotides) under Hordeum vulgare. Its description in RNAcentral is "long non-coding RNA (HVUL_LNC014530)". The record is from RNAcentral. Lineage: Eukaryota; Viridiplantae; Streptophyta; Magnoliopsida; Poales; Poaceae.
ACCGAUUUGCUACUCAUUAGAUCGUAGUGUAAUAUCCUUUCCUUUUUAGAGAAGGAUGGUACCAUAUAAAAUGCUACUAGCAAUUUUUGGAAAGCACAACUAGUAUGUUUGGACUUCAAAAUAAUCUAGUUGUAUCUGGUGGUGGAUUUCUUAACUUUGUUUGCUAUUUGGCACCUGGCAGAGCCAACAUGAUGAAUUUGAGGCAAAGUUUUUUGAGGAGAGAGCUGCGCUUGAAGCUAAAUAUCAGAAGAUGUACGAGCCACUGUACUC